Molecule: ribosomal RNA, 468 nt
Filed under: uncultured bacterium
Lineage: Bacteria
Description: partial 16S ribosomal RNA
Rfam family: Bacterial small subunit ribosomal RNA
Source: RNAcentral
GACGAACGCUGGCGGCGUGCUUAACACAUGCAAGUCGAACGGAAAGGCCCUGCUUUUGUGGGGUGCUCGAGUGGCGAACGGGUGAGUAACACGUGAGUAACCUGCCCUUGACUUUGGGAUAACUUCAGGAAACUGGGGCUAAUACCGGAUAGGAGCUCCUGCUGCAUGGUGGGGGUUGGAAAGUUUCGGCGGUUGGGGAUGGACUCGCGGCUUAUCAGCUUGUUGGUGGGGUAGUGGCUUACCAAGGCUUUGACGGGUAGCCGGCCUGAGAGGGUGACCGGCCACAUUGGUACUGAGAUACGGCCCAGACUCCUACGGUAGGCAGUAGUCGGGAGUAUUGCACAAUGGGCGGAAGCCUGAUGCAGCAACCCCGCGUGCGGGAUGCAGGCCUUCGGGUUGUAAACCGCUGUCGCCUGUGACGAAGCGUGAGUGACGGUAAUGGGUAAAGAAGCACCGGCUAACUACGUG